Molecule: long non-coding RNA, 1967 nt
Organism: Helianthus annuus (common sunflower)
Lineage: Eukaryota; Viridiplantae; Streptophyta; Magnoliopsida; Asterales; Asteraceae
Exons: 2
Source: RefSeq, a predicted model, not a curated record
CAAAAACAAGCUACUUCCUUCACUCGCAGUGAAAGCUUUGCCCCCAACUUAUAAGGUUCGGAUCUCAUCUGCAAUUUCGCUCUAUUGUUGUGUUGUGGUAUUCUUCUACUCUGUCUUAAGUUUAUUAUAUUUAAAAAUCUGUAUUUGGUUGCUUUUGUACCUUUUUUCACUCAAAGAUUCCACUCGUGCACACUUAGAAACUUGAAGAUCGAUGUAUGAGGCUUAAUUAUCUGGCUGUAUUAGUUCUGUUUGAUUAAUAAAUGAAGCGGAUUUUGUGUUUGAACAGUGUGAUUUUGGGUGUAUAAUUGGAACGAUUUGUUGAUCUGUGCUCUGCUUCUAGGGUUUGUGAAUGUAGUUUUGGUACUGCAUUCAUUACCUCGGAUUGGAUGUCGCCAAAAGAAUCCAACUUUUUUAUCCAGUAAAGCCUUUUUCUUGAAUAAUUUUACUGCCAUGUCUUUAUCUUGAUAUGUAUCAAAGUUGGAAAGAAGAAGAUACAGAAAAGUAUCUAAGAAUUAGAAGGAGAAUAGAGAAGCUUUUUGUAAAUUCAAUUCUGCAUGCCAUAAUCAAAUACUACUGGCUAAUAAAUAGCCUUACAAGAAAGCAAAUAACAACUACCCAUGACUCCACUAUUCGACUAACUGACCCACUAAUUAACUGAACCCACUAAUUAAACUGACUCACAAUAUUAGUAAUUAACUAAAAAAGAAAUAUGAAGAACGUGGGCAUGCAGGUGGUAGCGUAGACACGUAUCAUAUCUACAAGAGGUGUUUGAAUGUGUAAUUUUCAAAGUGAUUUCUGCCACUUUAAGAAUUAAAUAAUCACACAAUUAGUGAUUUCCUAUUGCAACUGCUUAAAUGCACAUCCAAACAAGUAGUUUUCUUUCUUUUUAUUGAAACUCGACUUCCACCCUUUGAACUAUUGCUCAAUAUUAAAAUUUGGAGUUAAAGCUGUUUUCAAUAUUAUUACUGUGGGUACAAGAUUUAAUUGAUGUAUAGCACUUUCUAUAAUUAUCAAGAAAUUGUUUGUUCUCACGCUUAUAUAGUUGGAUCUUCAUUGUGAUAUCUAUAUCUGCAAAAUGCUGUUUGUAUUGUUGUGGGGGUCCCCCUGAACAUGCAACACCCACCACUACCACAAACUAAUAUGGAUUGACCAAAAGUUGAAGUGGCAUACCUUCUUAAUUGUUGUUGCAAAAACGUGUAUGCCCGGACACGCCACGCCAGGCCCAACACGUACCAUACCUUCUAGGUGGUACAACUAUUCCGAGCCCGGUCUAUUAGGGUUGGCCCAACCUUCCCAUACAGAAUAGAGGAAUAUUGGGCCAGCCUAAUGGACCAAUCAGGGAUGGGAUGGAGCGAACCACUCUACCAGCCUGUAAUAGGGAUAGGGGUACCCUCUACAAUUCUACAUAUACAUCAAAAAGACAUAUUGACUGGUUGAUUAGCAUGCGACUUGAGAACCUUAUUGUAGAAGUUGCUUUUUCAUUCAUAAGCCUGAUGAAAACAUAAUUUCCGCAAUUUCUUUGUUCAAUUGCUGUUGUUCCGGACAACAAUAAUGCAAGUGGAGCAACUUUCAGAUCUGGCUACCAAGAGAGAAAUUCACAAGUUUUGCGGCGAAAUCGAGCACAUCUAGAUCUAUCGUGAUUCUUGAAGAAAGAAGACUGCAUUCGUGACAUUAAAAGCUCUUGAAAUUGCACUAUGAUGAAAUUACAACAUCAGCAAGGGAGGUACGAACGAUCUCAAGGGUGGUCUAGAGGAGAUCUAAAGUCAAAGGACUAAAGGAGUAAAAUAAUAAUUAAAGUUAUUUAAUUAUUAUAUGAAUUAUCUAUAAGUAUUAGUUUUAUUAUUAUUUGUUUAGGUAAGUAUUGUUUAGUAUUAUCUGGCGUACCAUAUUCAACACACGAUUGUUGUCGGUUUACUGUUUAAUCGUUUUGAGAUUACUUAUUGCAAGACAUAUUUAUACACUGAUCA